CCUACGGGUGGCAGCAGUGGGGAAUAUUGCACAAUGGGGGAAACCCUGAUGCAGCGACGCCGCGUGAGUGAAGAAGUAUUUCGGUAUGUAAAGCUCUGUCAGCAGGGAAGAAAAUGACGGUACCUGACCAAGAAGCCCCGGCUAACUACGUGCCAGCAGCCGCGGUAAUACGUAGGGGGCAAGCGUUAUCCGGAUUUACUGGGUGUAAAGGGAGCGUAGACGGCAGGGCAAGUCUGGAGUGAAAGGCGGGGGCUCAACCCCCGGACUGCUCUGGAAACUGCCAGGCUGGAGUGCAGGAGAGGUAAGUGGAAUUCCUAGUGUAGCGGUGAAAUGCGUAGAUAUUAGGAGGAACACCAGUGGCGAAGGCGACUUUCUGGACUGUACCUGACGCUGAGGCGCGAAAGCAUGGGGAGCGAACAGGAUUAGAUACCCGGGUAGUC
Molecule: ribosomal RNA, 440 nt
Filed under: uncultured bacterium
Lineage: Bacteria
Description: partial 16S ribosomal RNA
Rfam family: Bacterial small subunit ribosomal RNA
Source: RNAcentral